GGCUCACUCAGUAGAGCAUGAGGCUCUUGACCUCAGGGUUGUGAGUUCGAGCCCCAC
Molecule: transfer RNA, 57 nt
Filed under: Felis catus (domestic cat)
Lineage: Eukaryota; Metazoa; Chordata; Mammalia; Carnivora; Felidae
Also listed under: 4 other names
Rfam family: tRNA
About the family: Transfer RNA (tRNA) molecules are approximately 80 nucleotides in length. Their secondary structure includes four short double-helical elements and three loops (D, anti-codon, and T loops).
Source: Rfam by way of RNAcentral